AGGGCCACAUUAACAAGAUCGCGCAGAGAGUGUUUUCGGGAGAUUGAAGUUCAGAGCCAAAUUACCACCGGCUUUCGUUAGUGGCUGCAUAAACCUGGGAAGUUUUCUUUGUCCUUAAAAUCCGCGAUUCUCCUGCGAUUUGUUAAACUACAAGAAAUCGGCAGAAUAGUAAAGCAUCUAGGAGGAGAUUGGUGGUGCCGUCUAAGGGAAGACCAGGGGAAUCUGUCCCUCCCUUUUGAAGGCUCCGAGAGUGUCUGGAGCAGGAUCCUCUGGGAAAAAAACCGUUGGAAUUUCACACCGGAGAACUCACUGUCCCUUUUGAGCCCCUCAGGUAACUUUCCUUGAAACAUUUGAAAUCUGACUUCCUGUAAUCUGUAAAAGUUAUGUCUGACCAUCUUUCUUGAACAUUCCAGAAAGUGACAAAGCAAAAUAGAAACACAC
This is a long non-coding RNA of Balaenoptera ricei (Rice's whale), 441 nucleotides long. RefSeq lists it as uncharacterized. The record is from RefSeq and is a predicted model, not a curated record. Lineage: Eukaryota; Metazoa; Chordata; Mammalia; Artiodactyla; Balaenopteridae. The transcript is spliced from 3 exons.